Molecule: ribosomal RNA, 253 nt
Filed under: uncultured bacterium
Lineage: Bacteria
Description: partial 16S ribosomal RNA
Rfam family: Bacterial small subunit ribosomal RNA
Source: RNAcentral
UACGGAGGAUGCAAGCGUUGUUCGGAAUUACUGGGCGUAAAGCGUGCGCAGGCGGUUGUGCAAGACAGGUGUGAAAUCCCCGGGCUUAACCUGGGAACUGCACUUGUGACUGCACAGCUGGAGUACGGCAGAGGGGGAUGGAAUUCCGCGUGUAGCAGUGAAAUGCGUAGAUAUGCGGAGGAACACCGAUGGCGAAGGCAGUCCCCUGGGCCUGUACUGACGCUCAUGCACGAAAGCGUGGGGAGCAAACAGG